GGAUGUGAGGGUGAUCUGGCUGUGACAUCUGUCACCCCAUUGAUUGCCAGGGUUGAUUCGGCUAAUCUUGCUGGCUAGGCAGGUGUCCUCUUCCUCCCUCACUGCUCCAGUUGCAACCCUUCCGAUGCUAAAGCUGUGUGUGCGCUUGGUCAAAGAGGACGACCAUCCCCAUUAGAGGAGGAUCAUUCUUCAGUCAAGGGUAUAAAAGUAGCAGCUCUCCCCUGCUAGAACCACCAAACAAGCUGUCAAGGAAGGAGGGAGGGGGUAUAAGGGGCACAUGACCACCCACCGGAUGCCCUGUCC
RNAcentral lists this small nuclear RNA (303 nucleotides) under Carlito syrichta (Philippine tarsier). RNAcentral describes it as "7SK RNA (ENSTSYG00000025483.1)". It matches the Rfam family "7SK RNA". Rfam says of the family: 7SK was discovered as an abundant small nuclear RNA in the mid-70s but a possible function has only recently been suggested. Two independent studies have found that 7SK RNA binds the CDK9/cyclin T complex (known as elongation factor P-TEFb). Lineage: Eukaryota; Metazoa; Chordata; Mammalia; Primates; Tarsiidae. The record is from RNAcentral.